This 138-nucleotide small nucleolar RNA is filed under the name Arabidopsis suecica. RNAcentral describes it as "snoR127". It matches the Rfam family "small nucleolar RNA snoR127". Lineage: Eukaryota; Viridiplantae; Streptophyta; Magnoliopsida; Brassicales; Brassicaceae. The record is from RNAcentral.
CUGGAAUGAUGAUGCUUAGCCAAAUCAGAUAUGUGCUCCAAGAGGCAUUUUUCUGUUGAACCUUGAGUUCAGCAGAUGGUGCCUCUUGUUGUAGUGCGUCUUAGACGAUAUCACAGGGAAUGGUUUUGCCUGACCAGA